RNAcentral lists this ribosomal RNA (2921 nucleotides) under Bacillus cereus. RNAcentral's name for it is "bacterial LSU rRNA". It matches the Rfam family "Bacterial large subunit ribosomal RNA". Lineage: Bacteria; Bacillati; Bacillota; Bacilli; Caryophanales; Bacillaceae. The record is from RNAcentral.
UUAAGUUAGAAAGGGCGCACGGUGGAUGCCUUGACACUAGGAGUCGAUGAAGGACGGGACUAACGCCGAUAUGCUUCGGGGAGCUGUAAGUAAGCUUUGAUCCGAAGAUUUCCGAAUGGGGAAACCCACCAUACGUAAUGGUAUGGUAUCCUUAUCUGAAUACAUAGGGUAAGGAAGACAGACCCAGGGAACUGAAACAUCUAAGUACCUGGAGGAAGAGAAAGCAAAUGCGAUUUCCUGAGUAGCGGCGAGCGAAACGGAACAUAGCCCAAACCAAGAGGCUUGCCUCUUGGGGCUUGUAGGACAUUCUAUACGGAGUUACAAAGGAACGAGGUAGACGAAGCGACCUGGAAAGGUCCGUCGUAGAGGGUAACAACCCCGUAGUCGAAACUUCGUUCUCUCUUGAAUGUAUCCUGAGUACGGCGGAACACGUGAAAUUCCGUCGGAAUCUGGGAGGACCAUCUCCCAAGGCUAAAUACUCCCUAGUGAUCGAUAGUGAACCAGUACCGUGAGGGAAAGGUGAAAAGCACCCCGGAAGGGGAGUGAAAGAGAUCCUGAAACCGUGUGCCUACAAAUAGUCAGAGCCCGUUAACGGGUGAUGGCGUGCCUUUUGUAGAAUGAACCGGCGAGUUACGAUCCCGUGCGAGGUUAAGCUGAAGAGGCGGAGCCGCAGCGAAAGCGAGUCUGAAUAGGGCGUUUAGUACGUGGUCGUAGACCCGAAACCAGGUGAUCUACCCAUGUCCAGGGUGAAGUUCAGGUAACACUGAAUGGAGGCCCGAACCCACGCACGUUGAAAAGUGCGGGGAUGAGGUGUGGGUAGCGGAGAAAUUCCAAUCGAACCUGGAGAUAGCUGGUUCUCCCCGAAAUAGCUUUAGGGCUAGCCUUAAGUGUAAGAGUCUUGGAGGUAGAGCACUGAUUGGACUAGGGGUCCUCAUCGGAUUACCGAAUUCAGUCAAACUCCGAAUGCCAAUGACUUAUCCUUAGGAGUCAGACUGCGAGUGAUAAGAUCCGUAGUCAAAAGGGAAACAGCCCAGACCGCCAGCUAAGGUCCCAAAGUGUGUAUUAAGUGGAAAAGGAUGUGGAGUUGCUUAGACAACUAGGAUGUUGGCUUAGAAGCAGCCACCAUUUAAAGAGUGCGUAAUAGCUCACUAGUCGAGUGACUCUGCGCCGAAAAUGUACCGGGGCUAAAUACACCACCGAAGCUGCGGAUUGAUACCAAUGGUAUCAGUGGUAGGGGAGCGUUCUAAGGACAGUGAAGUCAGACCGGAAGGACUGGUGGAGUGCUUAGAAGUGAGAAUGCCGGUAUGAGUAGCGAAAGACGGGUGAGAAUCCCGUCCACCGAAUGCCUAAGGUUUCCUGAGGAAGGCUCGUCCGCUCAGGGUUAGUCAGGACCUAAGCCGAGGCCGACAGGCGUAGGCGAUGGACAACAGGUUGAUAUUCCUGUACCACCUCUUUAUCGUUUGAGCAAUGGAGGGACGCAGAAGGAUAGAAGAAGCGUGCGAUUGGUUGUGCACGUCCAAGCAGUUAGGCUGAUAAGUAGGCAAAUCCGCUUAUCGUGAAGGCUGAGCUGUGAUGGGGAAGCUCCUUAUGGAGCGAAGUCUUUGAUUCCCCGCUGCCAAGAAAAGCUUCUAGCGAGAUAAAAGGUGCCUGUACCGCAAACCGACACAGGUAGGCGAGGAGAGAAUCCUAAGGUGUGCGAGAGAACUCUGGUUAAGGAACUCGGCAAAAUGACCCCGUAACUUCGGGAGAAGGGGUGCUUUCUUAACGGAAAGCCGCAGUGAAUAGGCCCAAGCGACUGUUUAGCAAAAACACAGCUCUCUGCGAAGCCGUAAGGCGAAGUAUAGGGGGUGACACCUGCCCGGUGCUGGAAGGUUAAGGAGAGGGGUUAGCGUAAGCGAAGCUCUGAACUGAAGCCCCAGUAAACGGCGGCCGUAACUAUAACGGUCCUAAGGUAGCGAAAUUCCUUGUCGGGUAAGUUCCGACCCGCACGAAAGGUGUAACGAUUUGGGCACUGUCUCAACCAGAGACUCGGUGAAAUUAUAGUACCUGUGAAGAUGCAGGUUACCCGCGACAGGACGGAAAGACCCCGUGGAGCUUUACUGUAGCCUGAUAUUGAAUUUUGGUACAGUUUGUACAGGAUAGGCGGGAGCCUUUGAAACCGGAGCGCUAGCUUCGGUGGAGGCGCUGGUGGGAUACCGCCCUGACUGUAUUGAAAUUCUAACCUACGGGUCUUAUCGACCCGGGAGACAGUGUCAGGUGGGCAGUUUGACUGGGGCGGUCGCCUCCUAAAGUGUAACGGAGGCGCCCAAAGGUUCCCUCAGAAUGGUUGGAAAUCAUUCGUAGAGUGCAAAGGCAUAAGGGAGCUUGACUGCGAGACCUACAAGUCGAGCAGGGACGAAAGUCGGGCUUAGUGAUCCGGUGGUUCCGCAUGGAAGGGCCAUCGCUCAACGGAUAAAAGCUACCCCGGGGAUAACAGGCUUAUCUCCCCCAAGAGUCCACAUCGACGGGGAGGUUUGGCACCUCGAUGUCGGCUCAUCGCAUCCUGGGGCUGUAGUCGGUCCCAAGGGUUGGGCUGUUCGCCCAUUAAAGCGGUACGCGAGCUGGGUUCAGAACGUCGUGAGACAGUUCGGUCCCUAUCCGUCGUGGGCGUAGGAAAUUUGAGAGGAGCUGUCCUUAGUACGAGAGGACCGGGAUGGACGCACCGCUGGUGUACCAGUUGUUCUGCCAAGGGCAUAGCUGGGUAGCUAUGUGCGGAAGGGAUAAGUGCUGAAAGCAUCUAAGCAUGAAGCCCCCCUCAAGAUGAGAUUUCCCAUAGCGUAAGCUAGUAAGAUCCCUGAAAGAUGAUCAGGUUGAUAGGUUCGAGGUGGAAGCAUGGUGACAUGUGGAGCUGACGAAUACUAAUAGAUCGAGGACUUAACCAU